Ribosomal RNA from Chelonoidis abingdonii (Abingdon island giant tortoise), 104 nucleotides. The record is from Ensembl. NCBI's taxonomy places the organism in Eukaryota, Metazoa, Chordata, Testudines, Testudinidae.
UAGUGCAGUCAAAGGUACCUCAGGGAGUGAUCUCAACACCCCUGGGUCAGGCCUGGCCAGUAUUUGGAUGGGAGAUCACCAAGGAAAAACCGGUGCUGCAGGAA